RNAcentral lists this ribosomal RNA (459 nucleotides) under Triticum aestivum (bread wheat). RNAcentral describes it as "partial small subunit ribosomal RNA". Lineage: Eukaryota; Viridiplantae; Streptophyta; Magnoliopsida; Poales; Poaceae. The record is from RNAcentral.
AUGGGACAUCGCCGAUUUCUGCACCCAGACCAUGAGUUCCGCUAUGAAUCUGACUUGUUUGAUGGAUUGGAGGAACACAAAACAGAACCAACUCUUUAUUCUAAAGUUGGAGUUUUAGAUAAGAUAAAAUCAAUUAAGAACUUCAAUGAUUCCAAAACUUGGAAGUUUGUUAACGGGGUUUUCUCUCAUUUGACUUAUUGGGACUACAAUUUGCUCCACCACAAUCUAGAUAUUAUGCACAUUGAAAAGAAUGUAUGUGAAAAUAUAUAUGGGACACUUCUAGGAAUAGAGGGCAAGUCAAAGGAUAAUUUAAAGGCACGACUUGACCUGCAGGACAUGAACAUCAGGCCAGAGCUACAUCCUCAAAAAAAAACAAUGACAAGUAUUUUCUUCCUCCUGCUUCUUAUACGUUGUCAAAGAAACAGAAGUAGCAGUUUUGCAAAGUACUUCAUGAUAUAA